Molecule: ribosomal RNA, 235 nt
Filed under: uncultured bacterium
Lineage: Bacteria
Description: partial 16S ribosomal RNA
Rfam family: Bacterial small subunit ribosomal RNA
Source: RNAcentral
CGGACGGGUGAGGAACACGUACGGGACCUGCCCUUCAGUGGGGAAUACCCUCCCGAAAGGGAGGCUAAUGCCGCAUACGCUCGCUGGGGUGGAGCCCAGCGAGGAAAGGUGCAAAUCGCUGAAGGAGGGGCGUGCGGCCGAUUAGCUAGUUGGUGGGGUAAGGGCCUACCAAGGCGACGAUCGGUAGCUGGUCUGAGAGGAUGGUCAGCCACACUGGGACUGAGAUACGGCCCAG